RNA transcript from Balaenoptera acutorostrata (minke whale), 1789 nucleotides. It is a transcript of the gene named mitochondrial ribosome recycling factor, with no coding region annotated. Lineage: Eukaryota; Metazoa; Chordata; Mammalia; Artiodactyla; Balaenopteridae. The record is from RefSeq and is a predicted model, not a curated record. The transcript has 8 exons.
GGCCUGAGAAGCCGUCUCUCUAGGGCAGCCUCCUCUGGGAGCCCCUCGCGGGGCCGGCGCUAAGGUGCAGGGGCUCGUCGCGGCCGGACUCACCUCGUCACCUCGGCGUAGUCCCCUCGGCUCAUGCCCCCAAAGCAAGCCCCGACUCCGCGGUCAGAUGGCCCUCCAGACGCGUCCACCUCUGCGCCGCCAGCUGCCAGGCCGCCCGUGACGCACUACGCCUGCGCCGCCGGCCCGCCCCGUGACGUCACGACGCCCGCGCCGCCGCCGUCGCCGCCGUUGUGCGAGUCUUCCUAGUAGACUGGGCGCUAGCUGUGGGUGUUCACAAGAAUUGUCUUCAGUCAUGGCCUUGGGUUUAAGGUGCUUCCGCUUGGUCCACCCUGCCUUUUGCAACUCCCUUGCAGCCUUGACCAGACCUGUUUCAGAAGUUACGCUGAAGACAGUGAGUGGAAGACAGAAUGACCACGGGCAAUACCUGGCCUAUUCAGCUGUACCAAUCCGUCAUUUCGCUACCAAGAAAGCCAAAGCCAAAGGGAAAGGACAGUCCCAAGCCAGAAUGAAUCUUAACACUACCUUGGUUGAGGAUAUAAUCAGCUUGGAAGAGGUGGAUGAAGAAAUGAAGUCGGUGAUAGAAGCGCUCAAGGAUAAUUUCAAUAAGACUGUCAAUAUAAGGACCUCACCAGGAUCCCUUGAUCAUAUCACUGUGGUAACUGCUGAUGGGAAACUUGCUCUAAACCAGAUUGGCCAGAUCUCCAUGAAGUCACCACAGCUGAUUUUGGUGAAUAUGGCCAGCUUCCCAGAGUGUACAGCUGCAGCUAUCAAGGCUAUAAGAGAAAGUGGAAUGAAUCUGAACCCAGAAGUGGAAGGGACGCUAAUUCGGGUACCCAUUCCCAAAGUAACCAGGGAGCACCGGGAAAUGCUGGUGAAACUGGCUAAACAGAACACCAACAAGGCCAAAGACUCUUUACGGAAGGUUCGUACCAACGCAAUGAAUAAGCUGAAGAAAUCGAAGGACAAGGCCUCGGAGGACACCAUUAGGCUCAUAGAGAAACAGGAGCCAGCGUGAUGAUGAUGAUGAUCAUGACCAUGACAGUGAUGAUGAUGUUGAUGAUGACGUGAUCAUCUUCAUGAGGCAGCAUGUUGUCAUGGAAAGGGCUCUUGCUCUGGAGGCAGACUGGGCUGGAUUCGAAUUCUAGCUCUUUCACUUCUCAGCUGUUAAGAUCAGCCAAAUGGCCGACUACACCGUUGCAGAGCUGGACAGACAUCUGGCAGUGAAAACCAAAGAACUCCUUGGAUGAAAAUCCCCCAGGGGCCAGCAGUGCUCCCAAGCCCAGUUUCUAGUGGAUCCCAUGGUGGCAAAUUGGCACCUCUCCACCCCAUCCACACGGAAGGCUGUCACCGUGCACUUGUCAGUCCUUGGAAGGCCCAGCCUUCCAGUGGGACACUGUUGAUUCUCUUCCUCCUGUCCCCUGUCCACCCCAUCUGCUCUGGACCUCCUGGCCUGGGUGGCCCUCGGAGAGUCUCUGUUGCUGACAGAGGGCCUUUACUUGGGCCAUUUGCCUUGACUGUGACGUCACCGAGCUGUCAGGACCAUUGGCAGGCGUAGCACUGCCUGCUCCUCAUCUUGGGAGCCUCCUUUUCAAACAAUUAGUCAGGCCCUGUCCCCACCUUUGAACUCUGCUUGGGCCAAUGUGGGCCUUCACCUGUGCCUGGAUACCUUUGCUAGAGGCCCAUUUUCACCACAUAAUAAAAUCUAAAUAAAUUGAUUGGAAAGAAUAACAACCGCAAA